CCGUGCUCUUUAUUAACGCGUUCCCCGCUUCGUAGGCAAUUAAACAGGUUCUCCUGCGCCCCUAGGAGCUCCUGGCCGGCCAGCCAGGCGGAGGUGCACAGGGGUAAAAGAAAGAGGCUUGCCCACCUCGACUUUUGCACAGCUUGGGGCUGUUACAGGGCUUCCUCCGAAGCUGCUGCUGGCUGGAUGAGUUGCCCUGCAUUGAUUUUUGGUUCCCGAUGCUUCUGCUGGGGUUGGUGGCACGCACGGAGCGUGCUGGAGAGGUUUCACUGUGCAUGCAGGUGUCACGGGUGGGGGCAGCUGCGAAGGGCCUUCGGAUGCAGGUAGGGCAUCCCCAUGGCGGGUCUCCCUCCUCCAUUUUGAGCUGGUAAAAAUACAGUAAAAAUACGGGGGCUUUCCAGCCGGAGCUGUUCCUGCUGUGUUCGUGUCUCAGUGCAUUUCAUCCCCUGGCUCCGUGUCCCGCUCCGCAAGGGCCAUCGUGGAUCCAAGCAGCCUGACCAAGCCCAAUGGCACGUUUGGUUUAUCUGCUGUUAAUGCCCCGGGUGAAGGGGGAAGUACCACGUUAAUUAGGUUCACAGGGAAGCACCACGUUAAUUAGGUUUGCAGCCAGUGAGGAGCUUGGAGCCCAGGCACCGGGCGGGAUGUGGGGAGGGCGCUAAGAGUGAACGCGGGCGUUGGGCCUCGGGCUGAAUGAGAGUUUCACCCUUGGCUUUGGGAUCUUGUGUGUUUUUUAUUUCUUUUUGGGGGUUUUAGGGAUGCAAACAGACAUCUGGGCUUCACCUUGGGUUGUUUUUGGCUUUGUGUGCGGGCAUUUUGUCUCCUUUUGUGCCCACACCGGGCAUAUGAGCUGCAAGCAGGCAGGAGGAUGCGCUUCCAUUUCAGCUCGGACCCAAGAUGGUUUUUUUUGGGCACGUACCAAAAUCCCUGAAGUCCAGCUUGGUUGGUUAGCGUCUCUACAAGGAUCUGCUCGUGCAGCCGUUCCUGCAGGAGACAAGAAGUGCCCGGCCAGGCUCACGACCUCGGUGUGCGUGGCUGCGUGCUUUGAGCCGGCUGCAGGGGGGGGGGCUCAGCCCCUGCCCGUGUAGCGCUGCCACCCCCUCCCCUCUUCUGCUUCCUAAUUGUAUCCAGCUGCAACACUGCUAAAAGUGAGCUCAGACGGAAAAUAUUCUUGUGCAAAAAUGUUAACGCGUUUUUUGGAGGUGGAAAGCCUGUUUUGUUGUCGUUGUUGUUGUUGUUUUUUUGUUUAGGGGUGCAGCGGGGUGCUCUGGGUGGCUUCAUUUUGGUGGCAUCUGCCGCAUCCCAGCCGUGCUGGAGGCACGGUGGCACUCAGGGUGGCAGGGGUCUGGCUGGCACGUCCUGGGGAGGAGCAGAAUAGGCCCGUUGGGGUGGAAAGGACCUUCAGAAAGCUGUGGGGCAGCCCCACAGCCUGAACUUGACGCUGGCGAUUCAGGGCUGGGUUAAGUACAAUUAAUUUUGGAUGCUAAACGAAUUAAUUUGCCCUUCUCCUAACAGUCCGUACAAACAGUGCUCAGGUUACUACAAGGAUGUUUUAAAGUAAAAGGAAGAGCUUUGCCAGCUUAUCUCCUUGGUCAGAAGAAGGAUUUUGUUCUAAAGAUCAGUGACUGUUGUUGAGGUCCUGUUAUACCAUCUUGAAGACACACACCCACGCAGCUUUUUGGAUUUCUUAUAUUUUUAAAACAUUUUUGCAAUUGUUAGUGGUUUUAUUUUUUAACUGCGACUUUUUUUUCCCAUGCUACAGAAAGAUCUAGCCCUGGGUGUGACAGGCAGCACGUGCUGCCCUGCAUCCCAGCAGUGCCAGGGCUGCAGCGAGCUACGGAGACAUCCGAAGGUAAAUAAAUAUUGAUUUGGGUGCAACAGGGGGAAAAAAAAAAAGCAGCCCAAUAAGCCGUAGGGGAUGUAUCCACCUUGUGAUGGUUGGAGGCUGAAGAGGGGUUGAGGGCUUGCAGGGUCUCGUAGCCCGUGGAUUGGGCCGGAGCCUCCGUUUCUGGGGAGAAAUCUUGUAUUCUGAUCGCGCUCGCAGGGCUUCUUUUUUUGGUUUUCUGGCAUUUUUUGUUUUACUAAUUGCAAUUGUUUCACGUUCCUCUGAUCUAUUAUACUUUGUAAUAAGGCACGUAAUUCAUUAUUUAAGUGGCAGUGCUCUGAUAAUUAGACGGGUUAUUUUUGUCGGUGCUGAUUAGUUGGUAAGUACAGAUUGGAUGUUGGAAGCCGUGCUGCGCUCCCCUGGUCUUUGGGUUUUGGAGAGGGGCUGUGGCGGCCCCGUGCCUUGCAGCGGGAGGAGGGUGCUGCUAGCAAAUGGCUGCAAGAGUUUUAAAGGGUUCCGUACUUGUCCCCCCCCCAAAAAAGCUCAUGGUGCUGCAUAAGGUUAAGAUGCUGCUAGCAGAUGUAAGCUGAGGCUGGUGUAUUUACACCGCAGCAGGCGGCAUUGCACCUCCAGCAGUGGGUGCAUCAGGGGGGUCCUCGUCCCAAAUGUGGUUUUGGGAACGUUUCAGGGCGUAAACCCACUGAGUGCUAGAGCUGGCUGUGUCCUAGGGAAGCUUUGUCCCUUCACAAGUGUAAAGCCGUGUUGGUUUUUCCCCUGGAGUUAAUUGUAUUUGUAGGACAAUGUGGGCUUUGUCCCUGCGGCUGGGGGACGCUUUCUCCUCUUCCCCCUGUCCCUCGCUCGUUGUUCUGUAUUUGGGAUGCAGGAGCAGUUUGCAGGAUUAGGGCUUUUUUUACUUCGCUCUCAGACUGCUUAAUGAAGGGUGUGGUGGACGAGGUGGAGCGGGUCAAAUUCAGAGAUGUAUGGGGUGAGAUGCUCAGCGCUCCCUGCAAACCAAACCGAGCCAAGCAGUUCGCACACAUGGAAUUAAGGACGUGUUUUUGGAGUCGUAGCUCUCCGCUUUCUCCAAGAUGAUGUGAACCAUGCUGCUAGGAGAGUUUAAUUGGAGCCGAGCCAUCGCAUUAUUCGAGCGCAGAUUUCUGGAAAGAGGGAGUAAAAGGCAAUCUUUUGUGUCACUUGGUCGUCCCUUCCAAAUAAGCUACAGGGCUCUGCUCGUUUUUGUCGGAGGCUGUCGGGAUGCUCCUGGUUCAGCAGAUGGCUCCGAGCACAAACAGCCCCGGGGAUGCCUCCUGCUGCCUGUGACCCUGGGGACGGUCGGAGCUGUGUCGGAAAUGAGCAGUGAUUAGGAGAUGCCUCGCAUUUUUCUUGAGCAAAUACACGUGGAGUGGGAAAAGCCAGAGCUCUGUGUGCUUAUUGGUGCUGCGAGCGCACCUCGGGCGAGCCCCAAAAUGCUGGGAGGCUUCUGGUGCUGGGUGCUUGGAGGGCACCGCUGUUCAACGUGGCAGCGGAGGGUUUGUGUGUGUUUCCAGAGUCCCCGUGCCCGAGGAUGGGAGCUGCAGUCCUCGGGAUGCUCCCCGCUCACGUAGUGGGAUGUCUGCGAGCGACGCUGGGCUGAUCGCACGGGCUCUGGGGUGGGCCUGCGGGCUGCCAGGGAAGCAGCACGAGAGGAGGAUUUACUGCAAAGCUCUGCUCUUACUCUAGGUUUUCCCAUCUUCCUCAGUUUUUGAGGCUGAUGGGCAGUGGAAGUACAGUCGGGGCUCAGCAGCUGGGAAGAGGGGACAGGAGGGAGAAAGAAGUCCAGCAAUGUCCCCGUCCUUUGCCCGGGAUUUCCAGCUGCUUUUCCCUUGGGUUGGGGUGUUGGAGGCGGUGGGUUUUUAUGAGAACUGGCUCGUGCUUUACGCACAAUCCCACUGCUGCUAAAGGGGGGGGGUCAAAGUGUAAGUCAGUUAAGUGGCUGGAUUGCCCUGCUAUAUUUGCCACGGGAUAAUGGAAAAUUCCUGCGAGGAGCCUGCUUGAUCUGGGGCCAGAGGAAACAGGAUGAAGUCUAUUCCACUGCGAAGCGAUAGAAGAGUACGCUGCCUGCCUUCCGCUGGCUGCUGCCAAUGUUUUUAUGGGCUUGGGAUCUAAAUUUUGAGAAGAAAAGUAAACGCACGUUAUGUCAACCUGCGGUCGUGCCAGGCUUCUCGCCGUGUGUCCUGCUUCGUGCCAUCCCUUUGUACAAUUUCGGGGAUCUGCAUGCCAGGAAGGCAGCGACAGCUUCGUUUUUGGCUCCUUGGACUGAUAGGAGGAGUUGAUCGCAGCACAGGUCCCCUGCGGUCAGUGCCCUGACCCAGCAUACCAGCGCGGCCAGACCUCGGGUACCAGCGGGAGCCUUUUCGGGGAACCCUGUGUCCUCUGGCUUUCCACCCAGCUUUGAUGGGAAUUUUAAGCUUGCCGUCACGUUUUGAGGAUUUAAAGGGAAUCUUGGAAAACUAGUGCCUAGAAGUCUUUGAAAGAAACUUUUGAUAUCUCUUAGGACUGUGCCGGAGUCUGUGUUAUGAAACUAUUUUGUGCCGUAAGGCUUUGGAGGGAAGGACUGAACUUGAGUUCCUAGGCUGUUAUCGGUAGUCAAACUGCUUUGCACUUUGAUAGCCCCUUUCAUUCAAGGACCUGAAAGUACUUAAAAAAUGCUAACAAAUUGAGCUCCUUGAUAGCUCUUGAGUGCAGCUGUUUGUACAGGAAUUUGGUCCAAAGCCUAGCGAAGUCCAUGGAAAGAUGUCCGUGUCGCUACCUCUGGCGAAUCCCACCGUCUGUCUGUCCCUGCAGCUGGAACUAAUGACACAGACUUCUUCCCAUCCCAGGACCCCUCUCCAUUUCUCUGUAGGGUUUUUUCCUUGAUUUUUUUGCCUGGCUCCACUGUUGAGAAACACAUGGGGGGAGCGGCAAAGUCAUGGCAAGAUUUGGGGGCACCUGUCUCGUGUGCCACUGAGCCCUGCCUUAAGGUCGGAGAUGCAGGAGGCACCUGGGUUGGAAAUAGCCCUCCUGAGCUCUGUUACUUUGUCAUUGGAGGUUUGCCGUCGGUUUCAGCCUUUGGGAUCAAGCCUCGGAGAAGGCUGCUCCCUGUGCUUUGGACAUGGCUGUGGACAGGAGCUGCAGUGCUGGCCGUGAGAAGCUGGGGAAAGCUGCUCUUGGGUCCGGUUUGUGGCCAUCAGCCAGACUAAUAGGGGAGGGAAUUCUUCUUUCUCGUCUGUUAGGUAAAAGAUGUUAUGCUCUGGUAAAGGCACACGAGGCACUGGGAACACCUGACAUCCCUUUCCUCCUCCAGCAGUGCGAGGGGUCGUGUAGUGCCCUGAUAUCUGCCCAGCCAUGACGAGCUGUGCUCUGUGGAGUCCCGCUCCUUGUCGCCCUGCUACAUUUUCCCUUCUCCCCUACCUUACAUUAUUUGUCUUUCAGAACUAUCCGAUCUCUGCUCUGAUGAUUUUUUCCAGUGGAUAAGCCUGUUAGAGAUAAUCUGGUUUGCUGAAUUUCUCUUCCUCUAGGCGAUCUCCUUAAUAGCUGCCUAUGAGGAUUUCAUCUUGUUGGGAAACAGGAUGCAAUUCCGUAUAAAUAUUCUGUUUCUGCAUGGUUCUUCUGCUGAUUAAGGUCCGCUCUUUCUCCUAAAUAAACUGUCACAUAAAAUACUUGUGACAAGGAGGAGCUUUGGGGAUGCUUAGUUUGGUACUUCUGAGUGAGUUACCUUGGCCUGUAUGGUCAAAACCCAGCAUUGAUUUUGGGUACAUCCAUUUCAUCUUUCAGGAGCCAAAAAAAAAAAGGGGGUAGGAGGGAGAGACAUGAGGGAAAGACCUAUAAUCCUUAAUGUCCCCCGUAGCACAGAGUGCUAAGACACUGUGGGAUAUCCCCUUUUGUAUACCCAAUAGAAAAAAGGAAAAGACCAAAGGCACGUUCCUUCUCCUCUUAUCCCGUUCCCAGCCAUAUAGCAAUCAAUGGUGUCAUUUAAUUUCAGACUGUUACCCUACUUCACGUAACCUGAUACGGAUGUUUGCUGCCACUGCUCCUUUAGAAAAGCUCAUUUUCAGCUCUCUUAAAAACAAACCUACCCGUUUUUUAAUAUGUUCUGCACAGGUAUAUAUUUUUCCCCUGUCCAAAUCAGCACUGGAUGGAGGGUCAGGGCAUUACAGUUCUGUUCCUGCCAUUGCCAGUGAGUUGCUGAAUGAUCUUCAGCAAUUCAUUUGAUCUUUCUGCACCUCGUUCUCACAAAUAAGGAUGCUGCUUGCUAAAAAUAGGUGAUGGAGAAGACUUGGAGCUGCUGAGACAGAGCAAGACUGUAAAUCACUUGACAGCUCAUUUCCUUAUAGCAAAUACCUUGGUCUUAUGACUAUAUGUUUAGAUUAAGGAAGGAAUAAAAUGUAGCAGUCA
This is a long non-coding RNA of Cygnus olor (mute swan), 6235 nucleotides long. RefSeq lists it as uncharacterized. The transcript is spliced from 2 exons. The record is from RefSeq and is a predicted model, not a curated record. NCBI's taxonomy places the organism in Eukaryota, Metazoa, Chordata, Aves, Anseriformes, Anatidae.